GUCAACAUCUGUCUCAAAAGGAGCUGAGAGGCUGAGGAUGAAAUGCUUGUGUUGUUUAUCUGCAUCUCACUUAGGCUGAAAGUAUAUUGCAGUGCACAGUGCUGGUGCAUUUGCACAUCAGCCAGUGAAAUCCAUGUGAGUAGAAAAUGUGCAUUUUCUCAGUCUGGAUAUUGGCAGAGGGAUCAUCUAUCACCUGCCUUUCCUGGCUAGCAUGGGCCUGCAUUUAAAUUCCUGAAGAAAGGCUGUGCUGGUGUUUCCACAUGGCUGAAGCACGUACAAAAAUGAAUAACUCGGCUUGAAAUGCUAUUUCCCAAACUCCAGUUUUGCCUCUUGCUUGCCAUUGCCUAUGUGCUCCAAGUGCUCCAAGGCAUUCAGUUUGAAGAGCCAGAUGCAAAGAGAAGUGGAGGGAGUACUUUGAAGAAUAAGAACAGGAUCUCUUAUGGCAGCUUUCUUGCAUGGUACUAUUUGCUGCUGCAGAAAUGA
Molecule: long non-coding RNA, 483 nt
Filed under: Parus major (Great Tit)
Lineage: Eukaryota; Metazoa; Chordata; Aves; Passeriformes; Paridae
Description: lncRNA (ENSPMJG00000012150.1)
Source: RNAcentral